This 253-nucleotide ribosomal RNA is filed under the name uncultured bacterium. RNAcentral's name for it is "partial 16S ribosomal RNA". It matches the Rfam family "Bacterial small subunit ribosomal RNA", at positions 524 to 776 of the family's 1533-position model. The record is from RNAcentral.
UACGUAGGUGGCAAGCGUUGUCCGGAUUUACUGGGCGUAAAGAGCGCGCAGGCGGCUGGUCAAGUCCGAUGUGAAAUCUCCCGGCUCAACUGGGAAACUGCAUCGGAAACUGAUCGGCUUGAAGGUGGGAGAGGGUAGUGGAAUUCCCGGUGUAGUGGUGAAAUGCGUAGAUAUCGGGAGGAACCCCUGAGGCGAAGGCGGCGUCCUGGCGCACUUCUGACGUUCAGACACGACAGCAUGGGGAGCGAACGGG